RNAcentral lists this ribosomal RNA (253 nucleotides) under uncultured bacterium. Its description in RNAcentral is "partial 16S ribosomal RNA". It matches the Rfam family "Bacterial small subunit ribosomal RNA", at positions 524 to 776 of the family's 1533-position model. The record is from RNAcentral.
UACAGAGGGGGCAAGCGUUGUUCGGAAUUACUGGGCGUAAAGGGCGCGUAGGCGGCCUGCUAAGCCGAUCGUGAAAUCCCCGGGCUUAACCCGGGAACUGCGACCGAUACUGGUUGGCUUGAAUUCGGGAGAGGGAUGCGGAAUUCCAGGUGUAGCGGUGAAAUGCGUAGAUAUCUGGAGGAACACCGGUGGCGAAGGCGGCAUCCUGGACCGGCAUUGACGCUGAGGCGCGAAAGCCAGGGGAGCAAACGGG